Molecule: ribosomal RNA, 234 nt
Filed under: uncultured Actinomycetales bacterium
Lineage: Bacteria; Bacillati; Actinomycetota; Actinomycetes; Actinomycetales
Description: partial 16S ribosomal RNA
Rfam family: Bacterial small subunit ribosomal RNA
Source: RNAcentral
UGGCGAACGGGUGAGUAACACGUGGGUGAUCUGCCUUGCACUUCGGGAUAAGCCUGGGAAACUGGGUCUAAUACCGGAUAGGACGAUGGUUUGGAUGCCAUUGUGGAAAGUUUUUCGGUGUGGGAUGAGCUCGCGGCCUAUCAGCUUGUUGGUGGGGUAAUGGCCUACCAAGGCGUCGACGGGUAGCCGGCCUGAGAGGGUGUACGGCCACAUUGGGACUGAGAUACGGCCCAG